ACUAAGGUUUGCUUUGCUUGCUUGUCCCCGGAUGCAGUACCUGAUGGCGGCGGUGACGGCGGGGGCUCCAUACGCGCACCGGUGCCGUUCCCCAUCUACCACCCGGCCGCAACGGCGGCGUACUACGCGCACGCGUCCAUGGCCCGGGCGUGCCUUACUCGACGAGUGAAGCUGUCGCGGUGGCGGCGGCGGCGACGACGGAAGGGAAGGGCAAGGAGAAGGGCGGGGGCACAUUGCCUGAGAAGAGCAGCUCCGGCGCGCCGUCCGACGAGGACGCCUCCCGGAGCGGUGACAACGGCAAUGAGGAGUCGUUAAGAGACGAGAGAUGAUGGCACUGACCAUAAGAUUCGUCUGCGCAUAAGAAGAGGAAAACUGGUAACACAUCAGCUGAAGGUGAGCCGUCUCAUGCUGCUGUUGUGUGCUAUGUUGCUGUCGAGUCACCGUAUCCAGUGAAGGGGAGAUCUGCCCCGAAGCUUCUGGUGUCUGCACCCGAGCGGGCGGAAUGGCACCCUAAUUUUGAACAUUGGGAUAGAUCUUUGGAGUGCUUAUCCACCUGCAAUGCAAGGGGAAGCGAGCCCCGGCUUGGCGCAUGCUGGGAACUUCUUGAUAUCUCAGGGAACGUCACCUGAAUAACAGAUAUGGUAUGCGGGGCCAGUCAGUUUUGUAUUAUGCUCAUUAAUGAUUAGCAGUAUGUAUGUCACAUAGAUCACCCAUAAUCGAAAGCAUAAUAUUGGAGAUUAUACUGGUGCUCAAUUAACACAAAGCUUUCAACUAAACAUUUGCAUUAAUUUUGCAACACAGUAAUUGGUCUACUGCCAACUUUUAUUGAAAGGUACUCUGAUGCUUGUGAAAAAUAAGGGCCAUAAAUUUGCAGUUGCAUUUUGGUACUACAACUGACUGCAUCAGCCUUUUUUUUUCUGUUGAUUUGCUGUUUUGGUGGUUGCAUUUCCGAAAUCGGCAUAUUCUUUUCAGUGUUGAUGGUAAGUAGAAGGCUGAAGUCACUCUACAAUUUUAUGAACUCAAGAACUGGUAAAGGUGGUUUUGGAAUCCUUUUCUAGCCGCCGCUGCUCCUGUCUUGGCUAGGUGUACUUCUACGUGUCGUGCAACAUAUCAUCAUGUUCCAACGACUUGUUUGUCACUAUCGUCCAGUUGGUUAUAUUCAGAAAUCAGAACAGCUAGAGGGAGUUUACAAGGCUACGGAUGUAUAUAUGUUGCUUUGGAGGUCUAUGGUGAAGUCAUGUAGCUUCUAUUUUUAAGGUUGGGUAAUUAUUUAUUUAGAUGUAAGGUUGGGUAAUUAGUCAUAUGUUUGUAAGUAAUUGCAGUAAUAAAGAGAAUCUCUAUAUAUUUACUGAAAUACUUUGCAGCUAACAUCCCCUGAGCUAAUAAUUUAUUUGGUAGUUCCUUCUUGGCAUCAUCUUUAGCCCACUUUUCAGUUGAAGGAUGAGGUUAGAUGAACUGUGAUACUGACAUGGAGCUGGAAAUACUAUUAUGUAAUGCAAUUUUGGUCUCUGAAUUUUUUCUAUGUACUGCAGUUUUGGCCUCUGAAUUUUUGUAUCUACUGUUUUGAUUUCUGAGUUCUUGUCUGUUGAGAGUAGCAAAAUUAGUCUUAUUGAGCUUCAUUGGUAGCCGUUGUCUUUUCUAAAACAUUAGUUGCGGCAGCUAAUUAACAUUAUCCUUUACCGAUCUGUAACAGCAAAGUCCAAUGUGCAUUCUAAUAUUGCAACACAAGGGUCUCAAGCUGCGUUCUUUUUGUGUGGUUCACUAUACAAUAAAUCAUCGUGGCCAAUCUGAUAAGUUACAAUGCGUUUGUUUGUCUCCUUUGAGCUAGCCUGCCAGGAAAACACCCUGUCAGGCUUCACCUCCUUCAGUGCUUACUGCGUACUCCUAUUUAAAUGAGUACAUUCUGCAAUGAGUUGAAUAUUUCAGAGUAUUGUUAUAACAAUAUUCAAUAACUCCUAGCCUGUUGCACUUCUUUGUGUUGAACCUUCUGGUUGAUGAUGUCCAUGGGAAUUUUGUUCAGCUGGCUUCCAUAUAUACCAUUGUCUUGAUUAUGUUGAUUGCCUCUAAACUUCUACAUAUGUUUGAUGUCAUCUUAUGUAUUUUUUUAUUUCCGUUGCAAGGUACUCAACUAUCUGCCUCCAAAUUCAGCAGGUUUGAUGCUUGCACUGAAACUCACUCCUCCACUAGGAAGGUGCCUGUGGUUUGCAACGGCAUCCUUGUUCGAACAGAUUUGUUAUUUUUAUACAGUAUAUAGCAUGUCCAAUGAUUAGGGAUGAUGGCCAAUGAUUAGGGAUGAAAUUUGCUGAAAGGAAUUUUACCAUUUAGUGCCUUAUUUGGAUUAUAGUAUCUCAGGGAUUUACAUGUACCGCUGUAAUAGCGAAUCUGGAUAGGAUAUUUUGCUAUCGUUAGAGAUCUAGGAACAUGUCUUUCUAUCAUUGAGCCUGCAUGACACUGCUAAGAGGAUCUUUUGCCCGUAGCCUUAUAGAUACUGUGAUAUCGGUAGUGCGCACUCUUCCUUUGAUAAGGGUGCAGAAUUGCAGAUAUCAUGAUUUCAUCCCAUCAUUCUUUGGUACCUAUUUGAAACAAUGCAGAUAU
Molecule: long non-coding RNA, 2595 nt
Organism: Phragmites australis (common reed)
Lineage: Eukaryota; Viridiplantae; Streptophyta; Magnoliopsida; Poales; Poaceae
Exons: 6
Source: RefSeq, a predicted model, not a curated record